GGUAUAGAUUUUAUUAUCAGUUUUAUUACUGUUGCUUACAAAGACCUUGAAAACAGAAGGAAUGCACUGAAGUAGGCUGGAGAGGACGCAGGGCAGGGGCUCAGUGCACAGGCUGCUGCCCUAUGGGGCUGCCCCAGUUCUGGAGGCUGGGAAGUCCAAGACCCAAGACGCUGGUUGAUUCAAUUCCUGAUAAAAGCUCUUUUUCUGGCUAACAAGCGGCUGCCAUCUUGCUGUGUCCUCACAUGGUCAAGACAGGGGGAAAGUUUUAUGAAUAGUUUAUUAUCUGGAAAAUGCAGUGAAUAAGGUAAUAAAAGUACCUUAUUACCUUGAUAAGUGGAACUCUUUGGGAGCUAAGAAGACUGUCUUAAUGCAAGAAAAUCUAAAGAGAAAGAACAGCGUUCCUUCGCAGUAACCUAAAGCAAAUGCCUGUGGCUGUUAGAAGUAAAAUAUUUAUUAAGCUGAUGAAAACCAAGUUCAGAGACUUGCUACUUCUCUUCUCUCUGAUCCCAACUUCAUCCCAAAGCUGAACUGGCCUUCGACAGGAUACUUGGCUCUUCCUUGAUAAUUCUGGGCAUCAGAGCCCAAGCUAGAGCUUAAGGUACAGGAAUGUAAAAGGGUUUCAAUCUAAAGUGGAAUUGGAGGACAUGAAAUAGAAAAUCUCAUGCAUGCACCCUCAGAAGAAUGCAUCUAAGAGCUAAGAGACCGAUUUCCCAUAAAUGCCUAACUUAUCGAAGACAGACUUAUCUCUACCAAUGCAUCUCCACCAAGAAUCUCUCCCCAUCCUCAAACCAGUGAACAUACUGCUUGCACUCUGGCUGGACUUCCCUGCCUUUGCAUUCCGUGCCCAUAAAUACAGCCAGCCCCAAACCCUCAAUAGACUCAUCUGUGGUUUGGUAUAACAUGCAUUUUCUAAAUUGCAAUUCCUCUGCUAUUCCUGAAUAUGCACAAUUUCUGACAAUAUGCCCUUGCCUCAGUUUAGUUUACUUCUUUACUUAGCUCGACAAGAGCUUUCAGAGAAUGUUUUUACAAACGGAGAGUGGUACCUGAGAGAUCAUGAGUCUUGCCCAAGGUCACAUAGCCAAUUAUGGCAGAAUUUCUAGCUUUUUGAUUUUACAGUCUGGAAUCUUCUAGUUGUUUUAGUCUAAUCUUAUUGAUGGUUUCUUUUUCCCUUGAUC
This is a long non-coding RNA of Canis lupus familiaris (dog), 1175 nucleotides long. RefSeq lists it as uncharacterized. NCBI's taxonomy places the organism in Eukaryota, Metazoa, Chordata, Mammalia, Carnivora, Canidae. The record is from RefSeq and is a predicted model, not a curated record. The transcript has 4 exons.